GACGAACGCUGGCGGCGUGCUUAACACAUGCAAGUCGAACGGAAAGGCCCUGCUUUUGUGGGGUGCUCGAGUGGCGAACGGGUGAGUAACACGUGAGUAACCUGCCCUUGACUUUGGGAUAACUUCAGGAAACUGGGGCUAAUACCGGAUAGGAGCUCCUGCUGCAUGGUGGGGGUUGGAAAGUUUCGGCGGUUGGGGAUGGACUCGCGGCUUAUCAGCUUGUUGGUGGGGUAGUGGCUUACCAAGGCUUUGACGGGUAGCCGGCCUGAGAGGGUGACCGGCCACAUUGGGACUGAGAUACGGCCCAGACUCCUACGGGAGGCAGCAGUGGGGAAUAUUGCACGAUGGGCGGAAGCCUGAUGCAGCAACGCCGCGUGCGGGAUGACGGCCUUCGGGUUGUAAACCGCUUUCGCCUGUGACGAAGCGUGAGUGACGGUAAUGGGUAAAGAAGCACCGGCUAACUACGUGC
Molecule: ribosomal RNA, 469 nt
Filed under: uncultured bacterium
Lineage: Bacteria
Description: partial 16S ribosomal RNA
Rfam family: Bacterial small subunit ribosomal RNA
Source: RNAcentral